Molecule: non-coding RNA, 29 nt
Filed under: Rattus norvegicus (Norway rat)
Lineage: Eukaryota; Metazoa; Chordata; Mammalia; Rodentia; Muridae
Source: RNAcentral
UACAUCUUCAACUGAAGGCUGCUACUAGA